RNAcentral lists this ribosomal RNA (450 nucleotides) under uncultured bacterium. RNAcentral describes it as "partial 16S ribosomal RNA". It matches the Rfam family "Bacterial small subunit ribosomal RNA", at positions 354 to 796 of the family's 1533-position model. The record is from RNAcentral.
GUGGGGAAUAUUGGACAAUGGGCGAAAGCCUGAUCCAGCCAUGCCGCGUGUGUGAAGAAGGUCUUCGGAUUGUAAAGCACUUUAAGUUGGGAGGAAGGGCAGUAAGCUAAUACCUUGCUGUUUUGACGUUACCGACAGAAUAAGCACCGGCUAACUUCGUGCCAGCAGCCGCGGUAAUACGAAGGGUGCAAGCGUUAAUCGGAAUUACUGGGCGUAAAGCGCGCGUAGGUGGUUUUGUAAGUUGGAGGUGAAAUCCCCGGGCUCAACCUGGGAACUGCCUCCAAAACUGCAUGACUAGAGUACGGUAGAGGGUAGUGGAAUUUCCUGUGUAGCGGUGAAAUGCGUAGAUAUAGGAAGGAACACCAGUGGCGAAGGCGACUACCUGGACUGAUACUGACACUGAGGUGCGAAAGCGUGGGGAGCAAACAGGAUUAGAAACCCGAGUAGUCC